GAUGAACGCUAGCUACAGGCUUAACACAUGCAAGUCGAGGGGAAACGGCAUCGAAAGCUUGCUUUUGAUGGGCGUCGACCGGCGCACGGGUGAGUAACGCGUAUCCAACCUGCCCAUCACUUGGGAAUAACCUUGCGAAAGUAAGACUAAUGCCCAAUGACAUCCCACGAAGGCAUCCGAAUGGGAUUAAAGAUUUAUCGGUGAUGGAUGGGGAUGCGUCUGAUUAGCUUGUUGGCGGGGUGACGGCCCACCAAGGCAACGAUCAGUAGGGGUUCUGAGAGAAAGUCCCCCACCAUUGAACUGGGGCACCGUCCAAAAUCCCACGGGAAGGCGGAGUUGGGGAUAUUGGUCAAUGGGCGAGAGCCUGAACCAGCCAAGUAGCGUGCAGGAUGACGGCCCUAUGGGUUGUAAACUGCUUUUAUAAGGGAAUAAAGUGGGUCACGUGUGACUUUUUGCAUGUACCUUAUGAAUAAGGACCGGCUAAUUCCGUG
This 491-nucleotide ribosomal RNA is filed under the name uncultured bacterium. RNAcentral describes it as "partial 16S ribosomal RNA". It matches the Rfam family "Bacterial small subunit ribosomal RNA", at positions 28 to 507 of the family's 1533-position model. The record is from RNAcentral.